CCCACCAUCAGCACCCAAAGCUGACAUUCUAACUAAACUAUUCCCUG
RNAcentral lists this transfer RNA (47 nucleotides) under Lontra felina (marine otter). Its description in RNAcentral is "partial tRNA-Pro". The record is from RNAcentral. Lineage: Eukaryota; Metazoa; Chordata; Mammalia; Carnivora; Mustelidae. RNAcentral also lists the same sequence under 1 other name.